RNAcentral lists this ribosomal RNA (168 nucleotides) under Salmonella enterica. RNAcentral's name for it is "partial 16S ribosomal RNA". It matches the Rfam family "Bacterial small subunit ribosomal RNA", at positions 1 to 162 of the family's 1533-position model. The record is from RNAcentral. Lineage: Bacteria; Pseudomonadati; Pseudomonadota; Gammaproteobacteria; Enterobacterales; Enterobacteriaceae. RNAcentral also lists the same sequence under 1 other name.
AAAUUGAAGAGUUUGAUCAUGGCUCAGAUUGAACGCUGGCGGCAGGCCUAACACAUGCAAGUCGAACGGUAACAGGAAGCAGCUUGCUGUUUCGCUGACGAGUGGCGGACGGGUGAGUAAUGUCUGGGAAACUGCCUGAUGGAGGGGGAUAACUACUGGAAACGGUGG